UAAAAAUGGGACGCUCUUUCGAGAUAUGGUGUGUCCGCAACAUAUGCAGGACCACAACCAAUUUGGGAACCCUGUAUCCAUUGAAAUUUCAUCUAUUCAAACGGAACUUAACAUUUAUCGGGCUUUGUCAGAUAUGUAAUCAAUUUCAUAUAAAUAACAAUUUCACAAUUUAUGUAUACAACAUUCAAUUCAAACAUAUAAAUAUACACAGUUUAGUUACAUGAACUUACCUUGACAAGUGUUCG
RNAcentral lists this long non-coding RNA (245 nucleotides) under Gossypium barbadense (sea-island cotton). RNAcentral describes it as "long non-coding RNA (GBAR_LNC000280)". The record is from RNAcentral. Lineage: Eukaryota; Viridiplantae; Streptophyta; Magnoliopsida; Malvales; Malvaceae.